This 62-nucleotide non-coding RNA is filed under the name unclassified sequences. The record is from Rfam.
AACUCCGGCUCGAACUGUCACCGUAUGGUGCGCGUUCCGAAAGGAUAGAGCCGGAGUUUUUU